RNAcentral lists this long non-coding RNA (2186 nucleotides) under Nicotiana benthamiana. Its description in RNAcentral is "long non-coding RNA (NBEN_LNC021864)". Lineage: Eukaryota; Viridiplantae; Streptophyta; Magnoliopsida; Solanales; Solanaceae. The record is from RNAcentral.
UUCAAUAAACUGACAACUUAUCAUUUUUCACAGCCAACUUAAACAUGAAAUCUGCAUUAGGGACACCAAUUGAUUUCAACAAAACCAAUUUGUUAACUAUCACGAACACCUUGACAAAUUUGGCAUCUCAUCAAACCAUGAUUCAUUACUUGAAUCCUGAUCCUGCGAAAUCCCAAACGACUCAAUUGAGUCUACAAAUAGUGAGGCAAAACCCGUAUUGCAAGACUCAUAUCCAUAUUAUACCAAACCUACAGCAAUACCUAAGCUAGUGUAUAUUCAAUAACUAACAUAUCUUGAAUCAGCUAUGUUUAGCAAAGUUUGAACAUAGAUCUUAAAGCAAAAAUAAAUAAUCACAUGGAUAUAUAAAACCUAAACUAGAAGAAACACCAAUCCUAAACUAUUAUGUAAUCCACCAUCACUUGAUCACAUAUUUAGGGGUAGGGGAUAAGAAGCAUAACUCCCUAAAUAAAAAUAGAAACAACUCAAUAAACUACACACAGCCACAAUUACUACUCAAAACUCUAUAACGCCAUUUUGAUUCCAUGCCAAAGCUUUACAUUGAAUGGAAAAUAAAGGCGUGUACCUGAUUACAGCAUUAAACAAAGAAAAUUAUGAGCUUAGGAGACAACAACAGUAAUAAACCAAAACAGUAGAACUCAACAGCAACAAGAACAGUCCCAGAUUCAAUCAAAUACCUAAUGAAAUCAACUCAAACACCAAUGAAACAAUGACCUUGACUCAGAACUCGACCAUAUACUUUAAAAGAAUAACAAGUUCAAGUCAUUUCACACACCCACUAAACCAAAUAUUACCUUAACAAGUUGGAUUUCAAAAUCAGAAAUGGAGCUCAAUGGAACAACGAUUUUCUUCACUUUUAGCCGUUCUCUUUUAUGAGUUUCUUCGCUUUUUUCUUCUUUUUUUUUCCCCUUGAGCCUAAAGUAACAAUGCCUUUAUAGGCAAGUUGCUAAGGCAGCCUUAAGGGUUUAGUUUUGCAAUUGAGCACUUUUGAUAUUUUGGUUUUUGCUUAGAAAUCCCUCAUGUUUUGACUUGCUAACCAAGUUAAUCUAUUUUCAGCUUCUAAGAAGCUUCUUAGGUGGUUACUUGAGAUAUUCCCUUAGUGUUUUACCCAAACCACCCUUAGUUACCCCUGAAAUUUACUCUUAAGUCUUAGAUGGGUUAUGGGUCAAGUUGACCCUAGGCUGACCCAUUAGAAUGAACUCCAUUUUCUCCGGUUUUUUGUUCAAUCACAAUCAAAUCUAGUCCAUUGAAGCCUAAACAAAAUUCAAACCCAAAAUGGUUACAGAUUCGAAGUAAAACCAGAACAAGGGGAAAAAAGAUUUAAAUUAAUCAAGAGAAUGAAAAAAAUCUGAAACUUAAAAUGACUUAAAUAAAAACAAACAUGGAAAAUGAGCAAAACAACCACAAUCAAAGGAGAAAACUAACACAUCACAUCAUGAAUAUCAAAUAACUAAUGAAAGAAAAAGAAAACCUAAACUCAUAGCUUGAGCUUUUCCUAAAUUCAACAAUAGAAAACUAAUUGGGGAGGGGUAGAUGGUAAAACAAUGAAAUUAAAUAGAAAAGGAGAAGAAAACUUACUGAGAUGAUCUGAAAACCAAUAGAGACUAGGGACAUGACCAAGCUAAUAUUGAUCCCUCGUUCUUCGUCAAGAACAAAAGAACAAUAUUAGUUUUUCCAAGUUCGAACUUAUUGAAGAGAAAACGAACCCCAAGGUCAUGCAUGUUAACAGGCUUAACAAAACAGUUUCGAACUUUGGGAGCCAAACCCGGAUUUAAAAUUCGAAGAGUUUCAAGGUGAUUCAAGAGUCACUGACCAUAUAUUAGGGAAGAGGGGGUUAUGGUGACUAUGUAGUGUUAUUUUGGGGGAAAUUGGAGGUGGCGCCACCACCGGAGAAACUGUGGUGGCGCUAGGACUUGGAACUUUGAACGGAGAUUCGAGGGGUUCGGGGUAGAUUUGAGGGAAAGAGUUUGAGGAUUUGGGAUGUGGAGGUGGAGGAAAAUGUGGGGUGUUAAUUUUAGGACGAUUGGAGGCGGUGCCGCCACCCUCAGGCGGUGGGCAUUUAAAGGCGGCUGCUAGGGUACAUGUGAGGUCUUUGAGAGGGGUUCGUGCGAGAGAUGAGAGAUGCGGUGUGGGGGUGUUCGGACGCUAAUAUAUCAAAUGAACCGUAG